GGGCCCUUUGAUAGCUUUGAUUGUUCCCCCACUUUCCUCCCUUCCUGGUGACUCCCCAGCACUUGCCCCUGCAACCUUUUCCCUCCCAGGCCCCUGCUCUGACUUCACAAAGGCCAGGCUCUCCGAUGGCAGUCCAGGGUGGCAAGCAGCCCACAGGACACAUAACAACUUCCCCAGCUUCUAAGCGGUUCCCGGCAAGACUGCCAAAUAAAAUAGGGACCCAUGGACUUGAACAUGAGCAACAAGAUGCCACCUCAGUCAUGAGAGCAGGAGGGUGUGGAGCGUCUGCAGCUGAAUCCCACCUUCUAAUCCGACCCGCCCAGCAGUGUAGAAGGCUCCAGCACGUGACAUAACUCUGGGACGUCAUCUGCAAAAUGGGGGUAAGUAGAACCUGGCUCCUAGAGCUGAUGCAAUCUCUAAAGGAAGAGAGGUGUGUGCAAAACUCAGCACAGAGCCUGACAUUCACUAAAUGGUCAGUGAGUGACGGCCAUUAUCUACUUGGUCAGAGAGAGACAAAGAGCGCCAUCACAUUCCCUGCAUCCUGACAACCCUGCCCAGUGCCUGAAGUGCCCUGCAGCGUCACAGGGACGGGGCUGGCCAGCUGGAGAAGCUGUGUGUGAAGCCGGACUGUUGUCUCUGGUCCCUCUGGUUAACAUUCCACUCAUCUGCAAGAAGUAAGGAAAGAAUUGCUCUACAGGACAGCUCUGCCCUUUUUUGCCCCCGAGGAAACUUCUGGUCUUUGAAAGCUAAGCUUUGUGCGCUUCUCCGGUUCAUUUCCUUAGUGCUUCGCCCACUUCUGGGGAGUAGUCUCCCCGAACAUCUGAAGAUUUCCAUUUUCUUUAUUGCUCUGCCUCUUCCUCCUCCGUUUUUCAUAUUCCUCUCCUCUUUUCGUGUCUAGCUAAAGCGAAGACUUGAGUCUUAUUAACAUUGCCGGCCCUGCACCUUCUCCACGGAGCACGUGGGUGUCAGAAUAUCAUAACCCGGGUGUCACUCAAACCUUCUCUCUGCCUCAGGGUGUCACUCACACAGCACCGCGGACCUGAGCCGUAGUUGGUGGGGGUGAACAUGAACCAGUGGUGUGCAAGGUGAGGAGGAGGGGUCUUAGAGAGGUGGUGGGGCGAUGCCACCCUGGGCUCCAGCCAGUUCCACCACCCCCAGCCUUUGUCCAGCCCCGGGUCUCUCCACAAGCACCCCCUUCCCUUCCCUGGGGGAAGGAAGCUUCCAUCUCUUCAGGGCCAAUACACCACCCACAGGGAGGGGACAGUAUCUACUGUGAG
RNAcentral lists this long non-coding RNA (1277 nucleotides) under Felis catus (domestic cat). RNAcentral's name for it is "lncRNA (ENSFCAG00000048723.1)". The record is from RNAcentral. Lineage: Eukaryota; Metazoa; Chordata; Mammalia; Carnivora; Felidae.